ACAGCUCUGCGAAAGAGAUGGGGAGGGUGGGAGAGGAUGAAAAAGAGCAGGAGAGGGCAGAGGGUCCCCAGCCUACCCAGCUAUGCUUGGCGCCUCUCUGGGCCUCAGUUUCCCCAUCUGCACAAUGACAGUGUUAGACUCUAAAGAGCCUUCUAGGUCUGAAAUAGCCUGCGGCUAUAAUUUUAGAGACCCUGCCCCAAGACCUGGCCACUUCCUAUGGCUGGGCAAGGGGUUCCUCCCCGCCAGCUGGCAGAGAUGAGAGUGUGCCAAACACCCCUGGGCCGGCCCUGCCUCCUAGUUAUCGCCUCCACUCCCAGGCUCCAUUUCUGGGGAGGAUCCAAGAGAAGUUUAACCCCAAUUUCACAGGAGAGACCAACACUCGGAGAAAGGGUGGGACCUACCCAAGACCAAACAGCUCAAACCCUUAAUUAACUCUUGCCUCGCGAGUUCUGGCCUUCUCAGCUGUUUCCAAGGGCAGAGCAAAAUGCGGUAUGCCACCAGGCACGCCCCCACAUCUGGGGCCUCACCCACCAGCUCCAUCCCACCCUCCUCCUAUUUCUGCCACAGUCACCGGGUGUGGCUGUGACCUCAGGCCUGAGCCAUUUAGGCUCAGGGAACAGCUGGAUGUGGGUGUGAGGUCCCCCCAAACUCUUCCUUUGCUUAUUCACUGUAGAACCUCUCUUGGCCUUAAUUUCCUCAUCUCUAAAAUGGAGGUAAUGACACCUGCCCUCCUAGGCUUUCUGGAAGAGUCAUCUGAGAGGGGGACAUGGAGUCUGCUGUAGUAGCAGACACUCUGUAAGUGAUAAAUGCCCUAUUAUUGUGACAACAGUAGCCUAGGAGGCUCAUAUUAUACCCAUUUCUGGGUCUGCAAAUUGGGCUCAACCUCACCAAGACUGGAGGAAGGCUCUAAGCUCCAUCCUCCACCUGCCAAGGCUGAGCUCUGCUCUAAAGACACUUCAUAGGAAGCAAACACGGUGGUACAGGCAUUGGCAGGUGACAAGUCAGACCAGUGAGGCUCAAACUGUGGGACUCUGGUUGAAACCAAGGGGAGGAUAUGAGUAGAAGCAGCCCGUGGCCACCUUGCCUGUCACAUGGAGAGAACCUUCCUGCAAAGAUGCAGCAGAAACAAAGAUGUCAUAGGAGAGAGCACAGCCACAAAUGGAAAGACCAAGCCAGACGACAUCAUUUGAAUUCCUGGAUCCAGCCCUACCUGAAGUCGGAUGUGCCAAGAAUGUUCAGUUAUAUGAGCCUUUUGUGUUUUGGACCUGCAUAGUCCAAUAUAGUGGCCACAAGCCCUACAUGGCUAUUUAAAUUUAACAUUUAGUUAAUUAAAAUUAAAUAAAACUGAAAACAA
This is a long non-coding RNA of Homo sapiens (human), 1354 nucleotides long. RefSeq lists it as uncharacterized. Lineage: Eukaryota; Metazoa; Chordata; Mammalia; Primates; Hominidae. The transcript has 2 exons. The record is from RefSeq and is a predicted model, not a curated record.